RNAcentral lists this ribosomal RNA (632 nucleotides) under uncultured bacterium. RNAcentral describes it as "bacterial SSU rRNA". It matches the Rfam family "Bacterial small subunit ribosomal RNA", at positions 8 to 639 of the family's 1533-position model. The record is from RNAcentral.
AGAGUUUGAUCCUGGCUCAGAUUGAACGCUGGCGGCAGGCCUAACACAUGCAAGUCGAGCGGUUGAGGUAGCUUGCUACCGAUGCAGCGGCGGACGGGUGAGUAAUACAUGGGAAUCUGCCUGGUAGUGGGGGACAACGUUUCGAAAGGAACGCUAAUACCGCAUACGCCCUACGGGGGAAAGGGGGGGAUCUUCGGACCUCUCGCUAUCAGAUGAGCCCAUGUCGGAUUAGCUUGUUGGUGAGGUAAAGGCUCACCAAGGCGACGAUCCGUAACUGGUCUGAGAGGAUGAUCAGUCACACUGGAACUGAGACACGGUCCAGACUCCUACGGGAGGCAGCAGUGGGGAAUAUUGGACAAUGGGCGCAAGCCUGAUCCAGCCAUGCCGCGUGUGUGAAGAAGGCCUUAGGGUUGUAAAGCACUUUCAGUGGGGAGAAAAGUCAUUCACCUAAUACGUGAGUGAAUUGAUGUUACCCACAGAAGAAGCACCGGCUAACUCCGUGCCAGCAGCCGCGGUAAUACGGAGGGUGCAAGCGUUAAUCGGAAUUACUGGGCGUAAAGCGCACGUAGGUGGUUUGUUAAGCUAGCUGUGAAAUCCCCGGGCUCACCUGGGCACUGCAUUAGAGCUGGCAA